AGAGUUUGAUCCUGGCUCAGGAUGAACGCUAGCGGCAGGCUUAACACAUGCAAGUCGAGGGGUAACAGGAUUAGCUUGCUAAUUGCUGACGACCGGCGAACGGGUGCGUAACGCGUAUGCAAUCUACCUUCAACAGGAGCAUAGCUUCGAGAAAUCGAAAUUAAUACUCCAUAAUAUUUAUUCUUCGCAUGUUGAGUAAAUUAAAACUCCGGUGGUUGAAGAUGAGCAUGCGUGACAUUAGCUAGUUGGUGAGGUAACGGCUCACCAAGGCGACGAUGUCUAGGGGUUCUGAGAGGAUGAUCCCCCACACUGGUACUGAGACACGGACCAGACUCCUACGGGAGGCAGCAGUGAGGAAUAUUGGUCAAUGGACGAAAGUCUGAACCAGCCAUGCCGCGUGCAGGAUGACGGCCUUAUGGGUUGUAAACUGCUUUUAUUUGGGAAGAAACCCUCGAACGUGUUCGAAUCUGACGGUACCAAAUGAAUAAGCACCGGCUAACUCCGUGCCAGCAGCCGCGGUAAUACGGAGGGUGCAAGCGUUAUCCGGAUUUAUUGGGUUUAAAGGGUUCGUAGGCGGAAUCAUAAGUCAGUGGUGAAAUCCUGCAGCUUAACUGUAGAACUGCCAUUGAUACUGUAAUUCUUGAGUUCAGUUGAGGUAAGCGGAAUGUGACGUGUAGCGGUGAAAUGCAUAGAUAUGACACAGAACACCGAUUGCGAAGGCAGCUUACCAAGCUGAUACUGACGCUGAGGAACGAAAGCGUGGGGAGCGAACAGGAUUAGAUACCCUGGUAGUCCACGCCGUAAACGAUGAUCACUCGAUGUUGGCGACAUAAUGUCAGCGUCCAAGCGAAAGUGUUAAGUGAUCCACCUGGGGAGUACGAUCGCAAGGUUGAAACUCAAAGGAAUUGACGGGGGCCCGCACAAGCGGUGGAGCAUGUGGUUUAAUUCGAUGAUACGCGAGGAACCUUACCAAGGCUUAAAUGUAUAACGACCGUUCCGGAAACGGAACUUUCUUCGGACGGAAUACAAGGUGCUGCAUGGUUGUCGUCAGCUCGUGCCGUGAGGUGUCGGGUUAAGUCCCAUAACGAGCGCAACCCCUAUUCUUAGUUGCCAUCAGGUCAUGCUGGGGACUCUAAGAAAACUGCCCGUGCAAACGGUGAGGAAGGUGGGGAUGACGUCAAAUCAUCACGGCCCUUACGUCUUGGGCUACACACGUGCUACAAUGGUCGAUACAAAGGGUUGCUACCUGGUGACAGGAUGCUAAUCUCUAAAAUCGAUCUCAGUUCGGAUUGGAGUCUGCAACUCGACUCUAUGAAGCUGGAAUCGCUAGUAAUCGCGCAUCAGCCAUGGCGCGGUGAAUACGUUCCCGGGCCUUGUACACACCGCCCGUCAAGCCAUGGAAGCUGGGGGUGCCUGAAGUCGGUAACCGUUAAGGAGCUGCCUAGGGUAAAACUAGUGACUGGGGCUAAGUCGUAACAAGGUA
This 1483-nucleotide ribosomal RNA is filed under the name metagenome. Its description in RNAcentral is "bacterial SSU rRNA". It matches the Rfam family "Bacterial small subunit ribosomal RNA". The record is from RNAcentral.